AUGAACGCUGGCGGCGUGCCUAAUACAUGCAAGUCGAGCGAACAGACGAGGAGCUUGCUCCUCUGACGUUAGCGGCGGACGGGUGAGUAACACGUGGAUAACCUACCUAUAAGACUGGGAUAACUUCGGGAAACCGGAGCUAAUACCGGAUAAUAUAUUGAACCGCAUGGUUCAAUAGUGAAAGACGGUUUUGCUGUCACUUAUAGAUGGAUCCGCGCCGCAUUAGCUAGUUGGUAAGGUAACGGCUUACCAAGGCGACGAUGCGUAGCCGACCUGAGAGGGAGACCGCCAACACGGGAAGUGAGACCGGGUCCAGCGCCUGGGGGGAGGCACAGUAAGGGAACCGUCGGCAAGGGGCGAAAGCUGGAGGGAGCAGGGCGGGGGGAGGAAGAAGGGUGUUGGGUUAGAAAACCUUUUUUUUGGGGAAAAAAAAAAUGUUAAGGAAAAAAUGCGCUCCUUGAGGGGACUUAAUAAGAAAGCCACGGCUAACUACGGG
RNAcentral lists this ribosomal RNA (496 nucleotides) under uncultured bacterium. Its description in RNAcentral is "partial 16S ribosomal RNA". It matches the Rfam family "Bacterial small subunit ribosomal RNA", at positions 30 to 507 of the family's 1533-position model. The record is from RNAcentral.